Molecule: ribosomal RNA, 253 nt
Filed under: uncultured bacterium
Lineage: Bacteria
Description: partial 16S ribosomal RNA
Rfam family: Bacterial small subunit ribosomal RNA
Source: RNAcentral
UACGAAGGGGGCGAGCGUUGUUCGGAUUUACUGGGCGUAAAGGGCGCGUAGGCGGCCCUCUUUGUCGCGUGUGAAAGCCCCGGGCUCAACCUGGGAAUGGCGCGCGAAACGGGGGGGCUUGAGUUCGGGAGAGGAGCGUGGAAUUCCCAGUGUAGAGGUGAAAUUCGUAGAUAUUAGGAAGAACACCAGUGGCGAAGGCGGCUCACUGGCCCGGUACUGACGCUGAGGCGCGAAAGCGUGGGGAGCAAACAGG